This 46-nucleotide non-coding RNA is filed under the name Trichobilharzia regenti. Lineage: Eukaryota; Metazoa; Platyhelminthes; Trematoda; Strigeidida; Schistosomatidae. The record is from RNAcentral.
GUACUGAUGAAGAGUCCUAGAUUAGAACGAAACAGCUGUCCAGUAC